CCUUCCUUAAAAUCUGGGCAUAUAGUGUCCUAAUUAAUUACUGAGUUCAACAAGGUCAUGAAUUUAGGUCUUUUGAGGAAAAAGAACCAUAGAGAAGCUAAGGUUUAAUCUGUAAAUAGAGAAGAAUAGAAUCAAAGAGAGGGCCACAGACCAUUUGGGUCUUAAAUUGGAGGUCUUUUGUAUCUUUGAAGGAAGGCAGGUUUAAAUCCUAACUAAGCAUAUUUUUUUUCUAUCAUAGUACAGUGAAAAGAAUAAUUACAGCUCUUUCCAGGACUUUCAACUACACACUUUAUUCUGUUUGGGCCUCAAUUUUUAUAUCUGUAAAAUGAAGGUAUUGCCUUGAUUUCUGAUUUUGGAGUUUCAAAUUAAGCACAGUUGAUAUAUGGCUUAAGAGAGUUAGUAGUAAAUCUUAGAGAUACAUAUUUGAAGUCGUAUGAUUUAUUUAGAAACAUUUUCUUGGAGAGGAAAGAUUUUUCCUAAAUAAAAUAAAUAAAACCUAAAACCUAAAAUAGCCUUAACACACAGACCUGAUUUUUAUAAGUCCUAUUCAAAUUUCAGAAGAAAACUUAGCAUAAUAAAACUUGUUUUAUUAUCCUAAAACUUAAACAGUGAAUCUUUGUUACAUAUUUCCUUUGUGCCAAAGGAUUAUUGCCAACCAUGGUAGUUAAGGAGGAAGAGAAAGUAAAAGAUGAAGAAGACAUUGGUGUUGCCAUUCUGGGCGGUAAACAAGUCUGAUGAUGUUGACCAGAAGCUUCUCCAUCCUAUUGAAUUAAAUGUCUGAGACCAUCAUGUGGCCAAGCUUUCAGUUAAUACACAGCAAAGGACUGCAGCUGCAUAUUGACGUUGUGUAAUGAAAGACUGAUGGAAACACAUUCUGGUGAACUGCAGGAAAUCAGGGACAUGAAGCAAAAAGACAUGAAAGGGUUUUUGUAUCAGAGAUAGUAGAAAAUGAUUAAUUACUUUUUAGAUUUAGGAUUUUUAAAUAAUAGCUUUCUGGACAAUUUAUAUUCUUCUUGGUAAAAUAUUCUGCUUUGGAGUUUUUAAUUGAGGGGGUCAGGUUAUUUUGUAAGAGCAGUC
RNAcentral lists this long non-coding RNA (1077 nucleotides) under Suricata suricatta (meerkat). RNAcentral's name for it is "lncRNA (ENSSSUG00005002161.1)". The record is from RNAcentral. Lineage: Eukaryota; Metazoa; Chordata; Mammalia; Carnivora; Herpestidae.